UACGAAGGGUGCAAGCGUUACUCGGAAUUACUGGGCGUAAAGCGUGCGUAGGCGGUUUGUUAAGUCCGUUGUGAAAGCCCUGGGCUCAACCUGGGAAUUGCAGUGGAUACUGGCGAGCUAGAGUGCGGUAGAGGAUGGUGGAAUUCCCGGUGUAGCGGUGAAAUGCGUAGAGAUCGGGAGGAACACCCGUGGCGAAGGCGGCCAUCUGGACCAGCACUGACGCUGAGGCACGAAAGCGUGGGGAGCGAACAGG
Molecule: ribosomal RNA, 253 nt
Filed under: uncultured bacterium
Lineage: Bacteria
Description: partial 16S ribosomal RNA
Rfam family: Bacterial small subunit ribosomal RNA
Source: RNAcentral